AGCAAAGAAGUAAUUAUUACUUUUAGUUUCGACCUAAAAAUAAAGGAAAUUCCUUCAUGUUUU
RNAcentral lists this transfer RNA (63 nucleotides) under Atkinsoniella xanthonota. RNAcentral describes it as "tRNA-Arg". The record is from RNAcentral. Lineage: Eukaryota; Metazoa; Arthropoda; Insecta; Hemiptera; Cicadellidae.